Molecule: microRNA precursor, 238 nt
Filed under: Glycine max (soybean)
Lineage: Eukaryota; Viridiplantae; Streptophyta; Magnoliopsida; Fabales; Fabaceae
Description: miR9730 stem-loop (gma-MIR9730)
Source: miRBase by way of RNAcentral
AGGCUUGCAGCAGUUAUGACAACAAUUGUGGGGUUUUGUGUUGCAAUCAUGACUAUUUAAGCUUUUGGCUUAGGUUCCAUUUUUGCUCUUGGUUCAAAGGUGGAAAAAUUGGUUUUGCCCAUAAAAAUGUUUAUUUACACCUUGGAACCAGGGGUGAAAUUGACACAUCGGCAAAAAAAUUAAAUUUGCAUGAUUGCAAUGUGAAAUCCCACGAUUGCUGUCAUAACUGCUGCAAGGC